GACUCUCGGUAACAUAUAUCUCAGCUCUUGCAUCUAUGGAGAACGUAGUGAAUUGUGAUACUUGUUAUGAAUUGCAGACUUAAGUGAACCAUUGAGUUUUUGAAUGCAAAUUGCGACCGAAACCAUUAGGCCGAGAGCACGUCUUCUUGGGCUUCA
RNAcentral lists this ribosomal RNA (156 nucleotides) under Solanum tuberosum (potato). Its description in RNAcentral is "rRNA 5_8S_rRNA". It matches the Rfam family "5.8S ribosomal RNA". From Rfam's summary of the family: 5.8S ribosomal RNA (5.8S rRNA) is a component of the large subunit of the eukaryotic ribosome. It is transcribed by RNA polymerase I as part of the 45S precursor that also contains 18S and 28S rRNA. The record is from Rfam by way of RNAcentral. Lineage: Eukaryota; Viridiplantae; Streptophyta; Magnoliopsida; Solanales; Solanaceae.